GACGAACGCUGGCGGCGUGCUUAACACAUGCAAGUCGAACGGAAAGGCCCUGCUUUUGUUGGGUGCUCGAUUGGCGAACGGGUGUGUGACACGUGUGUAACCUGCCCUUGUCUUUGUGAUAACUUCAGGAAACUGGGGCUAAUACCGGAUAUGAGCUCCUGCUGCAUGGUGUUGGUUGGUAAGUUUCGGCGGUUGGGGAUGGACUCGCGGCUUAUCAGCUUGUUGGUGGAGUAGUGGCUUACCAAGGCUUUGACGGGUAGCCGGCCUGAGAGGGUGACCGGCGUCAAUGGGACUGAGAUACGGAGCAGAAUGCAAUGGGAGGCAGCAGUGGGGAAUAUUGCAGAGUGGGCGGACGUCUGAUGUAGAAACGUCGCGUGCGGGAUGACGGCCUUCGGGUUGUAAACCGAUUUCGCAUGUGACGAAGCGUGAGUGACGGUAAUGGGUAAAGAAGCAACGGCUAACUACGUG
Molecule: ribosomal RNA, 468 nt
Filed under: uncultured bacterium
Lineage: Bacteria
Description: partial 16S ribosomal RNA
Rfam family: Bacterial small subunit ribosomal RNA
Source: RNAcentral